Unclassified non-coding RNA from Callithrix jacchus (white-tufted-ear marmoset), 437 nucleotides. It matches the Rfam family "Metazoan signal recognition particle RNA". From Rfam's summary of the family: The signal recognition particle (SRP) is a universally conserved ribonucleoprotein. It is involved in the co-translational targeting of proteins to membranes. The eukaryotic SRP consists of a 300-nucleotide 7S RNA and six proteins: SRPs 72, 68, 54, 19, 14, and 9. The record is from Ensembl. NCBI's taxonomy places the organism in Eukaryota, Metazoa, Chordata, Mammalia, Primates, Cebidae.
GCUGGGCAUGGUGGUGCGUGCCUGUAAUCCCAGCUACUCAGGAGGCUGAGGCAGGAGAAUUACUUGAACCCAGGAGGCGGAGGUUGUGGUGAGCUGAGAUCGCCCCAUUGCACUCCAGCCUGGGUAACAAGAGUGAAACUCCAUCUCAAAAAAAAAAAAAAAAAGAAAAAGAAACAGGGUCUCUGAGGUAGGAGGAUCUCCUGAGCCCAGGAGUUCUGGACUGUAGUGCGCUAUGCCGAUCGGGUGUCCACAUUAAUUUCGGCAUCAAUAUGAUGACCUCCCCGGAUCGGGGGCCCACCAGGUUGCCUAAGGAGGGGUGAACCGGCCCGGGUCGGAAAUGGAGCAGGUCAAAACUCCCAUGCUGAUCAGUGGUGGGAUCGUGCCUGUGAAUAGCCACUGCACUCCAGCCUGGGCAACAUAGCGAGACCCUGUCUCUU